This 446-nucleotide ribosomal RNA is filed under the name uncultured bacterium. RNAcentral's name for it is "bacterial SSU rRNA". It matches the Rfam family "Bacterial small subunit ribosomal RNA", at positions 329 to 792 of the family's 1533-position model. The record is from RNAcentral.
GGCCAGACUCCUACGGGAGGCAGCAGUAAGGGAUAUUGGUCAAUGGGGGAAACCCUGAACCAGCAACGCCGCGUGAGGGAAGACGGUUUUCGGAUUGUAAACCUCUGUCCUCUGUGAAGAUGAUGACGGUAGCAGAGGAGGAAGCUCCGGCUAACUACGUGCCAGCAGCCGCGGUAAUACGUAGGGGGCAAGCGUUAUCCGGAUUUACUGGGUGUAAAGGGAGCGUAGACGGCAGUGCAAGUCCGGAGUGAAAGCCCAGGGCUCAACCCUGGGACUGCUUUUGAAACUGCCGGGCUGGAGUGCAGGAGAGGUAAGCGGAAUUCCUAGUGUAGCGGUGAAACGCGUAGAUAUUAGGAGGAACACCAGUGGCGAAGGCGGCUUACUGGACUGUAACUGACGUUGAGGCUCGAAAGCGUGGGGAGCAAACAGGAUUAGAUACCCCCGUA